UACGUAGGGUGCAAGCGUUAAUCGGAAUUACUGGGCGUAAAGCGUGCGCAGGCGGUGAUGUAAGACAGGUGUGAAAUCCCCGGGCUUAACCUGGGAACUGCAUUUGUGACUGCAUCGCUGGAGUGCGGCAGAGGGGGGAUGGAAUUCCGCGUGUAGCAGUGAAAUGCGUAGAUAUGCGGAGGAACACCGAUGGCGAAGGCAAUCCCCUGGGCCUGCACUGACGCUCAUGCACGGAAAGCGUGGGGAGCAAACAGG
Molecule: ribosomal RNA, 255 nt
Filed under: uncultured bacterium
Lineage: Bacteria
Description: partial 16S ribosomal RNA
Rfam family: Bacterial small subunit ribosomal RNA
Source: RNAcentral